GAGAACGACCACAGCGAAUGUCGCGGUGCCGGUAUUGGUUCCGUCAGACGCGGUGCAGGUGACAGUGGUGCUGCCAAAUGGGAAAGAGUCACCAGAGGCAUAGUCACACGAGGGCGUCACGGCACCAACCACGAUGUCAGUGGCGGUGACGGCCGACCAGGUGACAGCAGCAGUGCCGCUGGCCGAAGCGUACACGGACGCCGGCGAGGGGACCGUAAUGGCCGGCGCAAUGGUGUCAGUGACAGUAAUGGUGAUGGUCUUGCUCGCGCUAUUGCCGCUUUUGUCAGUGGCCGUGCAGGUGGCUACGGUGGUGCCGACGGGGUAGACGCCAGAGGUGGAGGGGGCCGCGGGGGAGUAGGUGGUGACAACGUUGAGGUUCGUGUCCACGUUGUCAGUGGCGGUGCAUGUGAAGGAGAUGCCGUCGGCGCCGCCAAGCGUGUUGCCCUCCUUGGUGAUGGCGUUGGUGCUGGUGCUGACGUCUGGAGCUGUGUUAUCUGUGGGCGGACAUGCAGGGUGGGGGGGAUUACACGAAUGCGUUUGCAUGUGCGUAAUUGAUGAUUACUAUGUAGCAGAAGCAAGCAAGUGUUCUUCCAAGGUCGGAGCCGCAACAUGCGAAGCCAGUAGGAUCCAUGCCCCGCCGUGCCCCGCCCUGCCUCACUCCGUUCCCCGCGCCCCGCCCCACUGCCACCCAACCCGACCCGACCCGAUCCAACCCGACUCAACCCCACCCAACCCAACCCAAGCAACCCGCCAAGACCCGACCCGACCUACAGCAACCCUUGCCCACCCUACCCUCCCCUCCCCGACCCACGUCUCACCGAGAACGACCACAGCGAAUGUCGCGGUGCCGGUAUUGGUUCCGUCAGACGCGGUGCAGGUGACAGUGGUGCUGCCAAAUGGGAAAGAGUCACCAGAGGCAUAGUCACACGAGGGCGUCACGGCACCAACCACGAUGUCAGUGGCGGUGACGGCCGACCAGGUGACAGCAGCAGUGCCGCUGGCCGAAGCGUACACGGACGCCGGCGAGGGGACCGUAAUGGCCGGCGCAAUGGUGUCAGUGACAGUAAUGGUGAUGGUCUUGCUCGCGCUAUUGCCGCUUUUGUCAGUGGCCGUGCAGGUGGCUACGGUGGUGCCGACGGGGUAGACGCCAGAGGUGGAGGGGGCCGCGGGGGAGUAGGUGGUGACAACGUUGAGGUUCGUGUCCACGUUGUCAGUGGCGGUGCAUGUGAAGGAGAUGCCGUCGGCGCCGCCAAGCGUGUUGCCCUCCUUGGUGAUGGCGUUGGUGCUGGUGCUGACGUCUGGAGCUGUGUUAUCUGUGGGCGGACAUGCAGGGUGGGGGGGAUUACACGAAUGCGUUUGCAUGUGCGUAAUUGAUGAUUACUAUGUAGCAGAAGCAAGCAAGUGUUCUUCCAAGGUCGGAGCCGCAACAUGCGAAGCCAGUAGGAUCCAUGCCCCGCCGUGCCCCGCCCUGCCUCACUCCGUUCCCCGCGCCCCGCCCCACUGCCACCCAACCCGACCCGACCCGAUCCAACCCGACUCAACCCCUCCCAACCCAACCCAAGCAACCCGCCAAGACCCGACCCGACCUACAGCAACCCUUGCCCACCCUACCCUCCCCUCCCCGACCCACGUCUCACCGAGAACGACCACAGCGAAUGUCGCGGUGCCGGUAUUGGUUCCGUCAGACGCGGUGCAGGUGACAGUGGUGCUGCCAAAUGGGAAAGAGUCACCAGAGGCAUAGUCACACGAGGGCGUCACGGCACCAACCACGAUGUCAGUGGCGGUGACGGCCGACCAGGUGACAGCAGCAGUGCCGCUGGCCGAAGCGUACACGGACGCCGGCGAGGGGACCGUAAUGGCCGGCGCAAUGGUGUCAGUGACAGUAAUGGUGAUGGUCUUGCUCGCGCUAUUGCCGCUUUUGUCAGUGGCCGUGCAGGUGGCUACGGUGGUGCCGACGGGGUAGACGCCAGAGGUGGAGGGGGCCGCGGGGGAGUAGGUGGUGACAACGUUGAGGUUCGUGUCCACGUUGUCAGUGGCGGUGCAUGUGAAGGAGAUGCCAUCGGCGCCGCCAAGCGUGUUGCCCUCCUUGGUGAUGGCGUUGGUGCUGGUGCUGACGUCUGGAGCUGUGUUAUCUGUGGGCGGACAUGCAGGGUGCGGGGGGCGUGAUGACAAGAAUGCGUGUGCAUGGUCUGUGUUUGUAUUAACGGAAGCUAGCGGAACCUUCGUUCCAUGCAAAGCUGCAGCACACCAAGUCUGCCUGCUGGGUCUAUCUCUCUAAUCUAGCCCCGCCCCGUCGCCAUCUAUGCGCCGCGCCUAGCCAUGCCUGUGCCAUCCACUUUACUACUGCUGCGUGCAUUGACCCAUAUGAACCAUCCAUAGAAGACCUAACCUACAAUCCCUGAGGCUCUGCCUAAUUUACGGCUUACCCAGGACGGUCACAGUGAACGUCUUUGUGGCGACGUUUGGCGUGGGUUGCGCGCCAUCAGACGCGGUGCAGGUGACCGUGGUGCUGCCAGAUGGGAAAGAGUCACCAGAGGCAUGGUUGCAUGCGGGCGUCACGGCACCAACCACGAUGUCAGUGGCGGUGACGGCCGACCAGGUGACGGCAGCAGUGCCGCUGGCCGAAGCGUACACGGACGCCGGCGAGGGGACCGUGAUGGCCGGCGCAAUGGUGUCAGUGACAACAAUGGUGAUGGUCUUGCUCGCACUGUUGCCGCUUUUGUCAGUGGCCGUGCAGGUGGCUACGGUGGUGCCGACGGGGUAGACGCCAGAGGUGGAGGGGGCCGCGGGGGAGUAGGUGGUGACAACGUUGAGGUUCGUGUCCACGUUGUCAGUGGCGGUGCAUGUGAAGGAGAUGCCGUCGGCGCCGCCAAGCGUGUUGCCCUCCUUGGUGAUGGCGUUGGUGCUGGUGCUGACGGUUGGGGCAGUG
RNAcentral lists this long non-coding RNA (2929 nucleotides) under Chlamydomonas reinhardtii. Its description in RNAcentral is "long non-coding RNA (CREI_LNC000386)". The record is from RNAcentral. Lineage: Eukaryota; Viridiplantae; Chlorophyta; Chlorophyceae; Chlamydomonadales; Chlamydomonadaceae.